Non-coding RNA from Schistosoma haematobium, 45 nucleotides. NCBI's taxonomy places the organism in Eukaryota, Metazoa, Platyhelminthes, Trematoda, Strigeidida, Schistosomatidae. The record is from Rfam.
AUUCAGCUGAUAAGCCCCAAAUGGGACGAAACGCGCUUCCUGGAU